RNAcentral lists this ribosomal RNA (453 nucleotides) under uncultured soil bacterium. Its description in RNAcentral is "bacterial SSU rRNA". It matches the Rfam family "Bacterial small subunit ribosomal RNA", at positions 26 to 475 of the family's 1533-position model. The record is from RNAcentral.
AGAUUGAACGCUAGCGGGAUGCUUUACACAUGCAAGUCGAACGGCAGCGCGGACUUCGGUCUGGCGGCGAGUGGCGAACGGGUGAGUAAUAUAUCGGAACGUGCCCAGUAGCGGGGGAUAACUACGCGAAAGCGUGGCUAAUACCGCAUACGCCCUACGGGGGAAAGGGGGGGAUCGCAAGACCUCUCACUAUUGGAGCGGCCGAUAUCAGAUUAGCUAGUUGGUGAGGUAAAGGCUCACCAAGGCGACGAUCUGUAGCUGGUUUGAGAGGACGACCAGCCACACUGGGACUGAGACACGGCCCAGACUCCGUACGGGAGCGGCAGGUGGGGAAUUUGGACAAGUGGGGGAAACCCUGGAUCCAGCCAUCCCGCGUGUGCGAUGAAGGCCGUUCGGGUUGUAAGCUACGUUUGGACUAGGGAACGAACGGCGUCGACCGUAACGUACGGACGU